RNAcentral lists this ribosomal RNA (253 nucleotides) under uncultured bacterium. Its description in RNAcentral is "partial 16S ribosomal RNA". It matches the Rfam family "Bacterial small subunit ribosomal RNA", at positions 524 to 776 of the family's 1533-position model. The record is from RNAcentral.
UACGUAGGGUGCGAGCGUUGUCCGGAAUUACUGGGCGUAAAGAGCUCGUAGGUGGUUUGUCGCGUUGUUCGUGAAAACUCACAGCUCAACUGUGGGCGUGCGGGCGAUACGGGCAGACUAGAGUACUGCAGGGGAGACUGGAAUUCCUGGUGUAGCGGUGGAAUGCGCAGAUAUCAGGAGGAACACCGGUGGCGAAGGCGGGUCUCUGGGCAGUGACUGACGCUGAGGAGCGAAAGCGUGGGGAGCGAACAGG